AAGUUCCGAUAACAAAUGGCGUAUGUCCACAUACGCUGCUGUCAGCCCCGGCGACCAACAGCGACAAUGCUAGUUCUUUCUGCUAAAGAUCGCUCUUCCUGUCUACGUCGAUUGCAGGCAAACAGCUGGGCAGUCGAAGAGUCUUUCCUUUCGUUUAUGCGGCUUUCGGUGUGUUAUUUACUGCCGUGUUGCUCGCCCGUUACGUGCCACACUUUCGUAUACAUUCCACUGUGAAAUCCGAAGCUGGGCCAGCACUGUAAUCAUGAAACAGCGUUGUCCACUGAAUAUUGGGUAGACUGAAGUCACCCGUCAAAAUUAUCUGUUCAAGCAACUUGAUACACGUCUUACGGGACACACCGCGCCUCAACUCGCCGUCGACAUGCUGUAUCUACCGACUGAUGCCAGGAUAGCAUUCCUCGUCAUCUGUACUUUAAUGACGCUUACAAUGUUAGCAUACGUGAAGCUGCAAAUAUAUUUAAACGGUGAAGAUAUCAUGAAGCCGAAGCACCGAUCUCCGCCACCAGAAUUUGGGAGUCGAAUAUUUGGUGAACACCGAUACGUGAAGCUAAGCAAUAUCACCGUUCAUUACAUGACCAAGGGAUGUGAUGACGUCAACGGCGACCGCACAAUGUUACUGCUUUUACACGGAUUUCCCGAUUUUUGGUUCGUGUGGAACAGGCAGAUACCACACCUCAGCUUGUACUUCUGCGUCGUCGUGCCGGACCUGCGUGGCUGCGGCAACACCUCACGGCCGCCGCAUCCCUCGGACUACAUGAUUACAAAUAUUAUAGAGGACGUCCGUGAAUUCAUCACUGCUAUAAGCAAGU
Rhipicephalus sanguineus (brown dog tick) is the source of this 827-nucleotide long non-coding RNA. RefSeq lists it as uncharacterized. The record is from RefSeq and is a predicted model, not a curated record. Lineage: Eukaryota; Metazoa; Arthropoda; Arachnida; Ixodida; Ixodidae. The transcript has 5 exons.